This 468-nucleotide ribosomal RNA is filed under the name uncultured bacterium. RNAcentral describes it as "partial 16S ribosomal RNA". It matches the Rfam family "Bacterial small subunit ribosomal RNA", at positions 28 to 507 of the family's 1533-position model. The record is from RNAcentral.
GACGAACGCUGGCGGCGUGCUUAACACAUGCAAGUCGAACGGAAAGGCCCUGCUUUUGUGGGGUGCUCGAGUGGCGAACGGGUGAGUAACACGUGAGUAACCUGCCCUUGACUUUGGGAUAACUUCAGGAAGCUGGGGCUAAUACCGGAUAGGAGCUCCUGCUGCAUGUUGGGGGUUGGAAAGUUUCGGCGGUUGGGGAUGGACUCGCGGCUUAUCAGCUUGUUGGUGGGGUAGUGGCUUACCAAGGCUUUGACGGGUAGCCGGCCUGAGAGGGUGACCGGCCACAUUGGGACUGAGAUACGGCCCAGACUCCUACGGGAGGCAGCAGUGGGGAAUAUUGAACAAUGGGCGGAAGCCUGAUGCAGCAACGCCGCGUGCGGGAUGACGGCCUUCGGGUUGUAAACCGCUUUCGCCUGUGACGAAGCGUGAGUGACGGUAAUGGGUAAAGAAGCACCGGCUAACUACGUG